Molecule: small nucleolar RNA, 183 nt
Filed under: Drosophila melanogaster (fruit fly)
Lineage: Eukaryota; Metazoa; Arthropoda; Insecta; Diptera; Drosophilidae
Description: partial small nucleolar RNA snoR269
Source: RNAcentral
GUGCCAUUCCCCCUGUCCACCUGUGGCCACUGUUCUAGUGGCCACGCCGGGCAAUCCGGGGCGUGGCACUUGGCCGGGCGCCCUUCCCUAGAGAGUUGAAUUACCUGAGUGGGGGGAGGACGACGACUUGUUGUUGUUGUCCCCCUGCAAACCAUCUAAUUCCUAGUUGGGAAGGUUACAUUU